ACUAUUUAUUGCAAACAAGAAUUUUAAUGUCAAGGAUUUGAAACCAGAGGGCGUGCGGCGGUGAGUAUUUAGACACAUUUCUUUAACCGACGUCGACAUUAAUUGUUUCGAAGAAUCUAUAUACAUUUCCUUAAUUUCUCCUCUUUCAAAUUCUAAUUCAAUUAAAUAAUUCGAAAUCAACCUUUGAUUUUCUUUCAAUUUGCUUGCUCCUCUUUUUUCAUCAGGUUGAUUUUCAAUAGAAUAGAAGGGUUUGUUUUUCAAUCUUUUUGACUCACCAUAGCACAUACUUCGAACUGCUGGCGGACAGAUUGAAUUCCUUGACGCACAACACACCGGCAUGGAGACUCUAAUGGACUGUAACGGCAGUCGCGUGCGGCAUGGUUAAUCUGGAAGGAAAAAAACAACAGAACAAAGAUGAACUGACAAUGCAGGUUUGAGACUCAAGUACUUAAAUUGUAUUAAUCUACUCUGUAAUUGAUAUUAAAGUACAACAUUUUUGAUAUCAAAUAUAUUCUUGCGUUUUAAAAUAACGAAUCGAUUUCGAUCUUUGAAAUAGAUUCGUUUAAUUAAAGAUGACUAAUGAUAGUUGAGAUUCGACGAAGUUUAACAUUUUUAUUAUAUUUUAUUAUUUUAUAUUUUUAUUAUAAAAUUAUAUUAUAUAAUUUUUUAAUGUAAAUUUAUAUUAUAUAUUUCAUAA
Molecule: long non-coding RNA, 697 nt
Filed under: Zostera marina
Lineage: Eukaryota; Viridiplantae; Streptophyta; Magnoliopsida; Alismatales; Zosteraceae
Description: long non-coding RNA (ZMAR_LNC005859)
Source: RNAcentral